AACGGGUGAGUAACACGUGAGCAACCUGCCCUGGACUCUGGGAUAAGCGCUGGAAACGGCGUCUAAUACUGGAUAUGAGCCUCUUCCGCAUGGUGGGGGUUGGAAAGAUUUUUUGGUCUGGGAUGGGCUCGCGGCCUAUCAGCUUGUUGGUGAGGUAAUGGCUCACCAAGCGUCGACGGGUAGCCGGCCUGAGAGGGUGACCGGCCACACUGGGACUGAGACACGGCCCAGACUCCUACGGGAGGCAGCAGUGGGGAAUAUUGCACAAUGGGCGAAAGCCUGAUGCAGCAACGCCGCGUGAGGGAUGACGGCCUUCGGGUUGUAAACCUCUUUUAGCAGGGAAGAAGCGAAAGUGACGGUACCUGCAGAAAAAGCGCCGGCUAACUACGUGCCAGCAGCCGCGGUAAUACGUAGGGCGCAAGCGUUAUCCGGAAUUAUUGGGCGUAAAGAGCUCGUAGGCGGUUUGUCGCGUCUGCUGUGAAAUCCCGAGGCUCAACCUCGGGCCUGCAGUGGGUACGGGCAGACUAGAGUGCGGUAGGGGAGAUUGGAAUUCCUGGUGUAGCGGUGGAAUGCGCAGAUAUCAGGAGGAACACCGAUGGCGAAGGCAGAUCUCUGGGCCGUAACUGACGCUGAGGAGCGAAAGGGUGGGGAGCAAACAGGCUUAGAUACCUGGUAGUCCACCCCGUAAACGUUGGGAACUAGUUGUGGGGACC
This 713-nucleotide ribosomal RNA is filed under the name bacterium MS-AsIII-67. Its description in RNAcentral is "bacterial SSU rRNA". It matches the Rfam family "Bacterial small subunit ribosomal RNA", at positions 101 to 830 of the family's 1533-position model. The record is from RNAcentral.